UACGUAGGGGGCUAGCGUUGUCCGGAAUCAUUGGGCGUAAAGCGCGUGCAGGCGGCCCGGUAAGUCCGCUGUGAAAGUCGGGGGCUCAACCCUCGGAUGCCGGUGGAUACUGUCGGGCUCGAGUACGGAAGAGGCGAGUGGAAUUCCUGGUGUAGCGGUGAAAUGCGCAGAUAUCAGGAGGAACACCAAUUGCGAAGGCAGCUCGCUGGGACGUUACUGACGCUGAGACGCGAAAGCGUGGGGAGCAAACAGG
Molecule: ribosomal RNA, 253 nt
Filed under: uncultured bacterium
Lineage: Bacteria
Description: partial 16S ribosomal RNA
Rfam family: Bacterial small subunit ribosomal RNA
Source: RNAcentral